CCCGUUUGUCCCAGAGCCCCUUCUUUUUGAUGAGAGUCUGACUCUGGGAGAAGGACUGGGCUUCAAGGAACACAUAAAAAACAACAACCCAAGAGGUGCUGGUCCAGGCUCCAGACAUACAGAGAAGAAUGAAGCAUAAUCCCUGCCCUGAAGGGUUUCACAGCCUGUUGAUCAGGAAGACAUGUGGAAAGAUACAUAAUAACACCAAAUAUCGCAGGAGCACUGGUCAGAUGCUGGGUGGUUGCCAGACAAGCGAGCCAGAGGAACACGAAGGCCCUGCCAUCGAGGAGCGUGCCAGAUCUCAGGGCCCCUAGACCAGGAGUCCUUCAGGGGGGCCUGCCACACUCCUCAUGUUUCAAAAUGAAUUUCCAUGCUUAACAUUACACCGUCUGUCAAGUUCAAAGAGGCUUCGUGUUUUGUUUGAAACCGGGUCUCGUUGUGUCGCCCAGGUUGGAGUGCAGUGGCACGACCUCAGCUCAUUGCAGCCUUGACCUCCUGGGCUCAAGGGAUCCUCCCACCUCAGCCCCCCAAGUAGCUGGGACUACAGGUAUGUCCCACCACACCUGGCUAAUUUUUGUAUUUUUUGUAGAGAUGGGGUUUUGCCAUGUUGCCCAGGCAGAUUGGUCUUGCACUCCUGAGCUCAAGCAAUCCUCCUGCCUCAGCCUCCCAAAGUGUUGUGAUUACAGGUGUGAGCCACUGUGCCUGGCUGCAGAAGAUUUUUUUUGAUUAAGCCCAUCUC
This 739-nucleotide long non-coding RNA is filed under the name Homo sapiens (human). Its description in RNAcentral is "HSALNT0152605". The record is from RNAcentral. Lineage: Eukaryota; Metazoa; Chordata; Mammalia; Primates; Hominidae.